GCGGCCGGGCCAGCCGGGUCGGGGCCACGUUUCUCGGCGCGAGUGUGGUUAGCGCUCCCGGCGGCGAGCCCCUCGGGGACGACGCACGUGUGUGGGAGCCCCGAUCACCCGGCGGCGGCCAGCUGACGCCACUUGUCGCGGCUCGGACACCGAGCACGCCAGUGGGAGCCGCGACGAGCCGGGACCGCAAACCCUCCGAUCGCGUGCACAAGAGCAUUUACCAUGUUGGGAACAAAGUGAAAUCUCGAGAUCCUGCCCCAGGCUGCUUCGUUGGCGCGAACACUAAAGUUUUUCUUUCUCAAAAGAAAACACGUGAUUCAUAGAGGAAAGUUUAUUCCUCCUUAUUCUCAACAAAGGGGCUAAAGCCACACAGCCCUGGACUAGUGAAGACGGUGACAGAUCUUCAAGUUCAGUCAUUCCGGACUCUUCUUCUUUUGGAUCCUUUCAGCCAGGGGAAGAUCAGGCCUCUGAGAGAAUGUCACUUACAGCUAUGGUGACUAUGUAAUUUAUCAUCCAAACUAGGAUACUUUUUGAGAGACAAGGGGCAUCUGUGAGAAUUCCCACCAGGACAGAAAAAGAUUUGGUCGCUACCACCCCCAGCUAACUGAUAACAUCAAAUGGAGCCUUAACUUCCUGACUCAGAGCCUUGGAAUGUAGUUCUGAAUCAUCACUUCUCUGUGUUGCUGCCUGAUUAUUGCAAUAGGAGGAAAAAUGGCACGUGCAUAAGAAAAGACCUUACCUGUGAUUCCUGAGUGGAUACUUGAAAGUGUUAAUCGCUCAGUUGUAUCUGAUUCUUUGUGAUCCCAUGGACUGCAACCUGCCAGGCUCCUCUGUCGCUGGAAAAUUCCAAGCAAUAUUUCUGGAAUGGGUAGCCAUUCCCUUCACCAGGGGAUCUUCCUGACCCCAGGAUUGAACCUGGCUCUCCUGUAUUGCAGGCAGAUUCUUUACCACCUGAACUACCAGAGAAGCCUGAGUGGAUAUUUAGGAUUGUUAACAAUUUUUCACUACCUCCAACAACAUUGCAAUAAAUGUCCUAUGUGUCUCAAGACUCCAAAUUCCUACAAGAGGAAAUUGUGGAUCCAAGGCUACGCCCACAUUGCCUCUCAAGUGGCUCCACCGUCUUGAAGUAUGAAAACAGAAUCCAGAAGUUCCCACUUCUCAGCAGUCUCAAUAAUGCUUCACCUACCAGACAUUUCAAAAUGCUCAGUAUAUUAGGCACCUUCUUAAAGAGAUGGAGCAAAGAUAAACCUCUGAUGAUGGAGCCGUAAUUACAGUCUGAGUGUCCUGGUCUGGUACUGAAGACGGGGCUGGAUUGGCAGUGGAAAGUUUGGAUGACACUCCAACACCUGGAGUAGGUUGCCCGGAGAGCAACCACUGUGGGAGCUGCGUGUAUGCCUACCCUGACGCCCUGAAGGAAAGGCAGCCUCCAAGUUGCUUCAGCUCCUCUUCUCCUAACCUGGAAGUGCCUCACUCCCUUCCCUCCUCCACACUCAAGCACUCUUUCUUGUUUCUGAGAGAAAGGCUUAGAAGUGACUCAUUUUGUAGCCUCUCUGCUCUCUGGGCACCUUGAGGUCCCCUGGAAAUGAAAGGAUUGAAAGCAACCAGCUUACUUUUCCUUGAGUGCCCAAACACUAAGGGGAAAUGCACACUGGGGGGACACUCUCUCCGGCUUUGUCAGAUACGAAAGGACGGAGCAGUAAAUGCACCCCUUCUCCCCUCGCUGGGCCCCCACUGGGCUCAUUCUUGAGUGUUUGUCCUAUUCUUAGCAACAAAGCCAGUUUCUCCAAGGGUCAAAUCUUGUGGUUUUAUUUUCUGGCUUUGCUCCACUCUUUUCUGGGACGGCCCUAAUCCCUGGGCCUCAGCAUCCCCACCUUGUAAUUAAAUGGGUUACACUCAGGUGAUCAUAGAUGGGGAAGAUUGUGUACUUGCAGCCU
Long non-coding RNA from Budorcas taxicolor (takin), 1934 nucleotides. RefSeq lists it as uncharacterized. The record is from RefSeq and is a predicted model, not a curated record. The transcript is spliced from 6 exons. NCBI's taxonomy places the organism in Eukaryota, Metazoa, Chordata, Mammalia, Artiodactyla, Bovidae.